CGUAAGUAUGACCGCUUAUACAAGCCGUCAUUGGCGGACUAUAAGGACGCGCGGAUGGCCUCUGAUUCAUGGAGGGAGAUCUCCGCAAACGGCGGUUUGCCGUUCGUGAGGUGUACAAAGUUGUGGAGGUGAAUUCUUUAGAUAAAAUCCCCAAACCAAAACCCAUUCAUUCUCUAUGGUUGUGCUAAACCACUACGGGUGUAAUAUAUCUUUGGCCACCGGUGGCGCUGCUGUGCGGACCGAGCGUUUGCCCGGAUGUAAAGCGUUUCUCCGGACAUUCUCCGUCAGUCUACCCGGGAAAGAGCACCGAAGCGACGGUGCACCUUCGUUGGACCUCGCGCUACGAGGAAGUCACUACACAGGAUUGCUGUGUUGCACUGAAGGUGGCAGAGUCGUCUGCAGGAGAACAUCUGAAAUGGGAUUCUUGGAGAACAACAGAUUGCCAAUGUCACGUCUGGCAACCAUCACAUUUUAAUGCAAACAUUAAUAUCAAGCUGGACUUGUUUCACUGCAUGAGGCGGUUCCUCCGUGAGUGUGUGUCGGUGGCAUCCCGCCCAGUACAGUUCCUUUGCUCAGUUCCUCUGGACUGGGACAAGCACAACAGCAAGACAGAUCACACCCAGGCCCCGAAUCCACCUCCUCAAAGUGAUCCACUCGCUACCCAGUCGGAGGUUCAAGAAACUCUACGUCCGCCGUCGCUGGCAGUUAUCGACCUGCUGCUCAACAAACACCGUGAGCAGAAGGACAUGCUGAAGCUUGUGGACCAGGACUACGCUGCUCUAGUUCACAACUCC
Gasterosteus aculeatus aculeatus (three-spined stickleback) is the source of this 794-nucleotide long non-coding RNA. RefSeq lists it as uncharacterized. Lineage: Eukaryota; Metazoa; Chordata; Actinopteri; Perciformes; Gasterosteidae. The record is from RefSeq and is a predicted model, not a curated record.